RNAcentral lists this transfer RNA (74 nucleotides) under Candidatus Woesearchaeota archaeon. RNAcentral describes it as "tRNA-Arg". It matches the Rfam family "tRNA". Rfam says of the family: Transfer RNA (tRNA) molecules are approximately 80 nucleotides in length. The record is from RNAcentral. Lineage: Archaea; Nanobdellati; Candidatus Woesearchaeota.
GGCCCCGUAGCAUAGCCUGGAUAGUGCGGCCGGCUUCGGACCGGCUGGCCCGGGUUCGAAUCCCGGCGGGGUCA